Molecule: non-coding RNA, 513 nt
Organism: Eptesicus fuscus (big brown bat)
Lineage: Eukaryota; Metazoa; Chordata; Mammalia; Chiroptera; Vespertilionidae
Source: the annotation of a RefSeq genome assembly
AUGCUGAUUGCCAGUGUGCUGAAGGCAGUCAUAGCCUCCAUCUGUCUUGGAUCCAGCAUGACCCAGAAGGUAAUUCAAGCCCAGUCUGCAAUUUCUGUGGUGGAGAAGGAGGCUGUAACCUUGAACUGUGUAUAUGAAGUUAGCAGUUACAAUUAUUACUUAUUUUGGUACAAACAACCAUCAAGUGGGAAAAUGACUUACCUUAUGCACCAGGAGUCUUAUAAUGAGCAAAAUACCACAGAGGGUCGAUAUUCUCUGAACUUCCAGAAAUCAGCCAGUUCCAUCAACCUCACCAUCACAGACUCGCAGCUCGGGGACUCAGCGGUGUAUUUCUGUGCUUUGAGAGAUGCCACAGUGAUGUGGGUGCCUGUCAGGGCCCCACAAAAUCAUCAACAUGAGAUAGAGGCCCUGGGGAGGGACUCCAUCACAUACAGGAUGAAGCAGCCCCCCGACCCCCACUGUCCUGACAAGCCCCAGGUCCUGAUGCAGGAAGAGCAGGUGAUUGAUGUGUAA